AUAAUGGGUCAGCGACUUAUAUUCUGUAGCAAGGUUAACCGAAUAGGGGAGCCGAAGGGAAACCGAGUCUUAACUGGGCGUUAAGUUGCAGGGUAUAGACCCGAAACCCGGUGAUCUAGCCAUGGGCAGGUUGAAGGUUGGGUAACACUAACUGGAGGACCGAACCGACUAAUGUUGAAAAAUUAGCGGAUGACUUGUGGCUGGGGGUGAAAGGCCAAUCAAACCGGGAGAUAGCUGGUUCUCCCCGAAAGCUAUUUAGGUAGCGCCUCGUGAAUUCAUCUCCGGGGGUAGAGCACUGUUUCGGCAAGGGGGUCAUCCCGACUUACCAACCCGAUGCAAACUGCGAAUACCGGAGAAUGUUAUCACGGGAGACACACGGCGGGUGCUAACGUCCGUCGUGAAGAGGGAAACAACCCAGACCGCCAGCUAAGGUCCCAAAGUCAUGGUUAAGUGGGAAACGAUGUGGGAAGGCCCAGACAGCCAGGAUGUUGGCUUAGAAGCAGCCAUCAUUUAAAGAAAGCGUAAUAGCUCACUGGUCGAGUCGGCCUGCGCGGAAGAUGUAACGGGGCUAAACCAUGCACCGAAGCUGCGGCAGCGACGCUGAUGCGUUGUUGGGUAGGGGAGCGUUCUGUAAGCCUGUGAAGGUGUGCUGUGAGGCAUGCUGGAGGUAUCAGAAGUGCGAAUGCUGACAUAAGUAACGAUAAAGCGGGUGAAAAGCCCGCUCGCCGGAAGACCAAGGGUUCCUGUCCAACGUUAAUCGGGGCAGGGUGAGUCGACCCCUAAGGCGAGGCCGAAAGGCGUAGUCGAUGGGAAACAGGUUAAUAUUCCUGUACUUGGUGUUACUGCGAAGGGGGGACGGAGAAGGCUAUGUUGGCCGGGCGACGGUUGUCCCGGUUUAAGCGUGUAGGCUGGUUUUCCAGGCAAAUCCGGAAAAUCAAGGCUGAGGCGUGAUGACGAGGCACUACGGUGCUGAAGCAACAAAUGCCCUGCUUCCAGGAAAAGCCUCUAAGCAUCAGGUAACAUCAAAUCGUACCCCAAACCGACACAGGUGGUCAGGUAGAGAAUACCAAGGCGCUUGAGAGAACUCGGGUGAAGGAACUAGGCAAAAUGGUGCCGUAACUUCGGGAGAAGGCACGCUGAUAUGUAGGUGAAGUCCCUCGCGGAUGGAGCUGAAAUCAGUCGAAGAUACCAGCUGGCUGCAACUGUUUAUUAAAAACACAGCACUGUGCAAACACGAAAGUGGACGUAUACGGUGUGACGCCUGCCCGGUGCCGGAAGGUUAAUUGAUGGGGUCAGCGCAAGCGAAGCUCUUGAUCGAAGCCCCGGUAAACGGCGGCCGUAACUAUAACGGUCCUAAGGUAGCGAAAUUCCUUGUCGGGUAAGUUCCGACCUGCACGAAUGGCGUAAUGAUGGCCAGGCUGUCUCCACCCGAGACUCAGUGAAAUUGAACUCGCUGUGAAGAUGCAGUGUACCCGCGGCAAGACGGAAAGACCCCGUGAACCUUUACUAUAGCUUGACACUGAACAUUGAGCCUUGAUGUGUAGGAUAGGUGGGAGGCUUUGAAGUGUGGACGCCAGUCUGCAUGGAGCCGGCCUUGAAAUACCACCCUUUAAUGUUUGAUGUUCUAACGUUGACCCGUUAUCCGGGUUGCGGACAGUGUCUGGUGGGUAGUUUGACUGGGGCGGUCUCCUCCUAAAGAGUAACGGAGGAGCACGAAGGUUGGCUAAUCCUGGUCGGACAUCAGGAGGUUAGUGCAAUGGCAUAAGCCAGCUUGACUGCGAGCGUGACGGCGCGAGCAGGUGCGAAAGCAGGUCAUAGUGAUCCGGUGGUUCUGAA
RNAcentral lists this ribosomal RNA (1836 nucleotides) under Escherichia coli. RNAcentral describes it as "partial 23S ribosomal RNA". It matches the Rfam family "Bacterial large subunit ribosomal RNA", at positions 612 to 2433 of the family's 2925-position model. The record is from RNAcentral. Lineage: Bacteria; Pseudomonadati; Pseudomonadota; Gammaproteobacteria; Enterobacterales; Enterobacteriaceae.